AGGAGAGAGAAAUGGCAAUUGUAGUAAGAUGGAGACAGGUCAACUUACCAAUACCACACACACCCAACUGCCCUUCGCCAUCACGUGGCCCCUCCCUGCAGAUUCUUCCCUCUCCUUCUGCAGGACCCUCAGCAGAAGGGCUGCUACUCCUCACAGUAACUGGGACUCAGGCUGGUGCAGGGCAGAGUGAGUUCAGGCCUGGACUGAGCUUAUGAGAAGUUGGGCUGGGACUUGCCCCAUUGUGGUACGGGGUGUAAAGGCACUGUAGGAGCAACGCAGUGAGACAGGAAUGGUGACCUCUGAGAAACUGCCCAACCCCACCACACUCCUCAACAUUUCUACAGCAUGCUUGCCCUGAAGCAUUUCCUGUUCCAUCAGCCUGCACUAACUGCUGGAGCUGGCAGGAGGCCACCUGCCUAUACAAGUCAACAUCAGCCCUGGCGCCUAAGGGAAACUCAGGGUAAGGCUCACCCAGCUCCCCUCCCCCUGCCCCCACACAAAACCUAGAGCCCACAAUUCCAGACCUGAAAGGCCAUGAACCCCUUCUAAAUUCCCUACCUAGCCUGGUGGCUUUUGGAGACUCAGACACACAAAUACAGCAGCCCUCUGGUCUACAGACCCCGGAACAGACCUUGCAGCAAGUCUAGCAGCUCCAUGCAUGUGCAUGUGUGCAGAGAAAUCAUGCCAGUCCAGCAGACAGGAAGGCUGUAGUGGGGCGUGGGAGCCGCAUACUGGGAAGCUGCCAGGCAGGCAAGCAGGCAAACCCCUAGCUAAGCACACUCCUUCCCAUUGCCAAGAUGGCACCACCCAAUCCCAGAGGUCAGCCCUGCCCUCCCCACACAGGGAAAGGAGCUUCAGGCAAUGGGACAGGCUUGGCUGGGGUCCAAGCAGCCUUUCAGGCAACCAGAAGAGACACAGAGGACAAAGACAGAGGUGCCCACACAUGCUCCUGCUGUGGAACUGGCUACGAUUUAACCCCUGCAGAGGGCUGAGGGACAAGCAGGCCACCGAGGGCUGGAGAUCAAAGAUCCUGGUCCAAAGGGGAGAGAUGACCAUCCCAUGCAAGAGGAUGCACUCUAGCUUCAUACAUAGGGUGCUGACAGUUGUGUUACUGAUACCAGCCAGCCAGCUGCACUGACCUGGCAUGGGGGGGACCAUGACAGCACUGCACCUUCUGAGAAGCCUCUUUCCUAGGCUCACAACAGCUCAGCAUUGAACUUCUCGGGACCCCCUGAUGUCCAUGCACUUGUUUGGAAACACAGCACAGUAGAUUUGGCCAGUACUUCUGGACUCUCAACUUUGAUCACCUCCUAUAAAAGGGAAAUGUGCU
Long non-coding RNA from Alligator sinensis (Chinese alligator), 1330 nucleotides. RefSeq lists it as uncharacterized. Lineage: Eukaryota; Metazoa; Chordata; Crocodylia; Alligatoridae. The record is from RefSeq and is a predicted model, not a curated record. The transcript is spliced from 3 exons.